UUUGUAUAAUGGGUCAGCGACUUAUAUUCAGUGGCAAGGUUAACCAUCUAGGGGAGCCGUAGGGAAACCGAGUCUUAACUGGGCGUUCAGUCUCUGGAUAUAGACCCGAAACCAGGUGAUCUAGCCAUGGGCAGGUUGAAGGUUGAGUAACAUCAACUGGAGGACCGAACCGACUAAUGUUGAAAAAUUAGCGGAUGACUUGUGGCUAGGGGUGAAAGGCCAAUCAAACCUGGAGAUAGCUGGUUCUCCCCGAAAGCUAUUUAGGUAGCGCCUCGGACGAAUACUACUGGGGGUAGAGCACUGUUAAGGCUAGGGGGUCAUCCCGACUUACCAACCCUUUGCAAACUCCGAAUACCAGUAAGUACUAUCCGGGAGACACACGGCGGGUGCUAACGUCCGUCGUGGAGAGGGAAACAACCCAGACCGCCAGCUAAGGUCCCAAAUUACUACUAAGUGGGAAACGAUGUGGGAAGGCUCAGACAGCCAGGAUGUUGGCUUAGAAGCAGCCAUCAUUUAAAGAAAGCGUAAUAGCUCACUGGUCGAGUCGGCCUGCGCGGAAGAUGUAACGGGGCUAAGUAGUAAACCGAAGCUGCGGCAAUAUACUUUUGUAUAUUGGGUAGGGGAGCGUUCUGUAAGCGGUUGAAGGUGUGUGGUAACGCAUGCUGGACGUAUCAGAAGUGCGAAUGCUGACAUGAGUAACGAUAAAGGGGGUGAAAAACCUCCUCGCCGGAAGACCAAGGGUUCCUGUCCAACGUUAAUCGGGGCAGGGUAAGUCGACCCCUAAGGCGAGGCCGAAAGGCGUAGUCGAUGGGAAACGGGUUAAUAUUCCCGUACUUCUUACAAUUGCGAUGGGGGGACGGAGAAGGCUAGGUGGGCCUGGCGACGGUUGUCCAGGUUCAAGUGCGUAGGCUUAAGAGUUAGGUAAAUCCGGCUCUUUUUAAGGCUGAGACACGACGUCGAGCACCUACGGGUGUGAAGUCAUUGAUGCCAUGCUUCCAGGAAAAGCCUCUAAGCUUCAGAUUGUAAGGAAUCGUACCCCAAACCGACACAGGUGGUCGGGUAGAGAAUACCAAGGCGCUUGAGAGAACUCGGGUGAAGGAACUAGGCAAAAUGGUACCGUAACUUCGGGAGAAGGUACGCUCUCGACGGUGAAGUCCCUCGCGGAUGGAGCUAUUGAGAGUCGCAGAUACCAGGUGGCUGCAACUGUUUAUUAAAAACACAGCACUGUGCAAAAUCGUAAGAUGACGUAUACGGUGUGACGCCUGCCCGGUGCCGGAAGGUUAAUUGAUGGGGUUAGACUUCGGUCGAAGCUCUUGAUCGAAGCCCCGGUAAACGGCGGCCGUAACUAUAACGGUCCUAAGGUAGCGAAAUUCCUUGUCGGGUAAGUUCCGACCUGCACGAAUGGCGUAAUGAUGGCCACGCUGUCUCCACCCGAGACUCAGUGAAAUUGAAAUCGCUGUGAAGAUGCAGUGUACCCGCGGCUAGACGGAAAGACCCCGUGAACCUUUACUACAGCUUGGCACUGAACAUUGACCCUACAUGUGUAGGAUAGGUGGGAGGCUUUGAAGCACGU
This 1573-nucleotide ribosomal RNA is filed under the name Vibrio parahaemolyticus. RNAcentral's name for it is "partial 23S ribosomal RNA". It matches the Rfam family "Bacterial large subunit ribosomal RNA", at positions 607 to 2167 of the family's 2925-position model. The record is from RNAcentral. Lineage: Bacteria; Pseudomonadati; Pseudomonadota; Gammaproteobacteria; Vibrionales; Vibrionaceae.